Molecule: long non-coding RNA, 550 nt
Filed under: Phasianus colchicus (ring-necked pheasant)
Lineage: Eukaryota; Metazoa; Chordata; Aves; Galliformes; Phasianidae
Description: lncRNA (ENSPCLG00000004939.1)
Source: RNAcentral
UGAGAGCAAACUGCAUGAAGAUAGUACAGACAGAUGCCAAAAAAGAGGGCCCCCAUCAGCCCAGUAUGCCCUGCUGUGAACCACCAGCGUGCCAGGAUGCUGCUGAAAAACAAAUGGAAGCUGGCAGCAGCUGAAGGCCUGUGGUGGUUGACCAAUCUGCUCUGAGCUGUUCCAGGAGCCUCCAGAGAACAAGAGGUAUGACAACUUUAUUUCAAAUAUCUUGGGAGGAUAGAAACUGGAACAGUGUAUGUCCUCUGUGGUAUGGCACAAAAUAGAGAAGCACUUAGUGGAUGUUUCUUAUAGCCCAGGUCUCUCCUAGGUGCAACAAGGUCUCACACCUAAGCUAUCUCCUACACUUAAUCUCUUAUUGAGUUUGGAUAAACUGAAUAUAUACUCGUCCAGGCUUACAGCUUACAGAAUUCUCAGUGUGAGCGGCCUGACAGAAAAAGAAAUAUUUUGAUUUUGAGUCCUAAGGGAGGAGCAUGAGGUACAACUGCUCCCUGGGGAUACAGUAGUAAAAAGAAGUCUGCAGAUUGAAGUUUAGCUUGUU